GAUGAAGAACGCAGCGAAAUGGGAUAAGUAGUGUGAAUUGCAGAAUUCAGUGAAUCAUCGAAUCUUUGAACGCACAUUGCGCCCCUUGGUAUUCCAUGGGGCAUGCCUGUUCGAGCGUCAUUUGUACCUUCAAGCCUUGCUUGGUGUUGGGUGUUUGUCUCGCCUCUGCGCGCAGACUCGCCUCAAAACAAUUGGCAGCCGGCGUAUUGAUUUCGGAGCGCAGUACAUCUCGCGCUUUGCACUCAGAACGACGACGUCCAAAAGUACAUUUUUACACUCUUGACCUCGGAUCAGGCAGGGAUACCCGCUGAACUUAAGCAUAUCAAUAAGCGGAGGA
RNAcentral lists this unclassified non-coding RNA (337 nucleotides) under soil metagenome. RNAcentral's name for it is "partial contains 5.8S ribosomal RNA, internal transcribed spacer 2, and large subunit ribosomal RNA". The stretch from base 1 to 120 matches the Rfam family "5.8S ribosomal RNA", at positions 35 to 154 of the family's 154-position model. The record is from RNAcentral.